Daktulosphaira vitifoliae (grape phylloxera) is the source of this 431-nucleotide long non-coding RNA. RefSeq lists it as uncharacterized. The record is from RefSeq and is a predicted model, not a curated record. The transcript is spliced from 2 exons. Lineage: Eukaryota; Metazoa; Arthropoda; Insecta; Hemiptera; Phylloxeridae.
UUUUGUCUAUGUAAAUUAACAUUUUAUAACUAGAGGCAACACUACUGUGUAUGUUAUUUGUAAUAAUUUAAUACAUAAAAUAAAUAUGACGUAAUUUUUAAAGCACAAUCAAUAUAUUAUUGUUAAAAGAACUAUAAAGAUAAAAAACACCAAUAAUGUACAAUGGAGUACGUAUUGUUUAUAAGUCAAGCUGUCAAAAUUCCAUACAAUGAAAAACUACAUUAGAAAAUAUUUACUUACGGCAAAUAAAUGGUUUGCGACAAUUGCUAAGCCAAUUGACACAGAAGGUGUUACAAUAUUACUUCUAUUUGCAUCAUCACAAACUGAAUGAAUAACCAAAAUUAAUAUGAAGGUAAUUGCAGCUUCAACUGUAAAAGCUAUCAUGGGAUCGAGAUCUGUACUUGUUUCACCAAGACUUUUCGGUGUUCUAA